This 175-nucleotide unclassified non-coding RNA is filed under the name uncultured Helotiales. RNAcentral's name for it is "sequence contains ITS2". Lineage: Eukaryota; Fungi; Ascomycota; Leotiomycetes; Helotiales. The record is from RNAcentral.
UAACCACUCAAGCCAGUCUUGGUGUUGGGGAUUGCGAGUCUCGCAGCCCUAAAGUCCAGUAGCGUCACCUGUGGGUCCUAAGCGUAGUAAUUUCUCCUCGCUACAGAACCUGCUGGUGGAUAGUAUAAAUCCAGCUAACGCUGCGUAUCUCGCUAUUAAACCCCCAAUUUUUAAA